Molecule: ribosomal RNA, 427 nt
Filed under: uncultured bacterium
Lineage: Bacteria
Description: bacterial SSU rRNA
Rfam family: Bacterial small subunit ribosomal RNA
Source: RNAcentral
UCGAGAAUUUUUCACAAUGGGCGCAAGCCUGAUGGAGCGACGCCGCGUGGGGGAUGAAGGGUUUCGAUCCGUAAACCCCUGUCAUUUGCGAACAAACCUUGAUUGCGAAUAGCGAUCGAGCUGAUUGUAGCGGAAGAGGAAGGGACGGCUAACUCUGUGCCAGCAGCCGCGGUAAUACAGAGGUCCCAAGCGUUGUUCGGAUUCACUGGGCGUAAAGGGUGCGUAGGUGGUCGGUGAAGUUCGGUGUGAAAGCUCGGAGCUCAACUCCGAAACGGCAUUGAAAACUCAUCGGCUGGAGGGUCGGAGGGGAGACUGGAAUUCUCGGUGUAGCAGUGAAAUGCGUAGAUAUCGAGAGAAACACCAGUGGCGAAGGCGAGUCUCUGGACGGCUCCUGACACUGAGGCACGAAAGCCAGGGGAGCAAACAG